AACUGAAGGGCACUGACUGGGUCACUGGUGAAGUUCCCCGCAGGAACUGAGUCAGACCCCAUCUCAGGGCCCUGCACAAGAUAGGUGCCUGCUCUAAGGCGUGGACCCUCGCCACAGCCCUGGCCCGUCUUGACGGGCGAGGGUUACUGUACUUGUCCCAACCGUACAGAUGAGAAAGCUGAGACUCAGGGCCAGCAACCCGGGUCCCAGCGGAGCGCCCGGCACACGCCGACACUUCAGCACCAGUGGCGGUGGCCACCACUGUGGGCGGAGAUGGCUGCGACGCGUGCGCAGAUACCUGGGAGAGAGGAUUUUUCAUGUUACCAACACAAAGAAAUGAUAAAGGUGAAAUGGCCACCAGACCCAGGCUUUCUGGAAUGCAUUCAUUUUCUGCAGUUGAAAGGGACAAUCCCGGAUCUGAAAGAAAGAGCCACAGUGACUCCAAGAGUGGAGCCAGGGCAUGCUGGACACUGCAUAGCUAUGGCCACGUGUGUCACCUCCGAGGGAGAUGUGAGAGAAACGCAGAGGGAUCGCUUGUGACUGUGCCUUCUCGAUGUAUGAUGGACUGUUCUGCUCAAAUAGCAGCAGUAGGGCUUAUGGGAGCCAUUGUACAGUGACAGGAACAUACCAGGACACUGAGAAUAGCGUCAUGUCAUAAGGACUCAGAGCAGGUGGACCCUGCUGUGAUGCACAAAGGUGAGGGUGCAGCUGCCCAGGACACACUCAUGCAUGUUUGUGUGGACCAUGGAAGAUGGCAGGGGAAGAGCUGUCAGGUUGCUGGGGCAGAGGGUGCGCAUGAGUACUCGCCUAGGACCAUGCAAGAUAUGAUAAAGAUCUAUGUCACUGAAUUUUGUUUCUGUAUUUGUAUCUCAGCUUCCCAGAAAUAAAAAAGAAUUCUAACAUUCA
RNAcentral lists this long non-coding RNA (906 nucleotides) under Homo sapiens (human). RNAcentral describes it as "glioblastoma down-regulated RNA". The record is from RNAcentral. Lineage: Eukaryota; Metazoa; Chordata; Mammalia; Primates; Hominidae.